AGACAAAGAAUAUUCUAACAAAUUGACGAGCCAGCCAGUCUUUAGUCAGUUUUCUACGGCAAGCCUUUACCGCACGUUUGUUUUUUACUUUUCCUCUUCCGGCAAAGGGGGGAUAGUGUGCAGCUGUCUGAAGAGAUCAAAGAGAUCCUCUGACUAAAAACAAAAAACCUAGUAGUGAUCAGAAGAAACUGUAAUUCGACUCUACCAGACCAUUACAGACCACGUGGUGAGAAGGAAGAGCAUUCCAGAACCGUAUAUCGUACUGAGAGCAGAUUGCGCAAGCAACUGAUCUACGGUUGUAUGUAAGAGUCGAAUGGACAAUGCAAAUCAUUACAAAGUCCAUCAUAUCAAAGACACCUGGCAUUCAAGAAGAGACAAUCCUUUAUGUUUCUAGCAGUUCUGAUGGCGACAAUACUACUGAUUGACUGUUCUAAGGAAGAUCUACAGAGUCAGGAAGAUCUACCGAUUUGACAACCAAUGUAUAGCCAAUUUAACAAUACUCAAGGGUUCCCAGACAUAAUUAAGAAGAAAAGAGAAAUUGAUGAU
Long non-coding RNA from Spea bombifrons (plains spadefoot toad), 546 nucleotides. RefSeq lists it as uncharacterized. The record is from RefSeq and is a predicted model, not a curated record. NCBI's taxonomy places the organism in Eukaryota, Metazoa, Chordata, Amphibia, Anura, Pelobatidae. The transcript has 2 exons.